Molecule: non-coding RNA, 933 nt
Organism: Paramuricea clavata
Lineage: Eukaryota; Metazoa; Cnidaria; Anthozoa; Malacalcyonacea; Plexauridae
Source: the annotation of a GenBank genome assembly
GAAAAAAAAAAGACGGCCAAUUCAAGAUAAAUUGAUAAAAAUAUCAAGAUAUUUUUGAAAGAAUAUAAACACGAUUUAUACACGAGGCCUGACGAGGCUAAAGUAUGCCCGUUCGCAGGUUAGAUGCGGGAACGAUGUAAACAAUUGAUGUAAACGAAUCGCUGAUUGGCUUAAAUUGGCUUAAAUUAUAUAAGCUCGUCGCUGAAUGGCUAUGUGUUAACAUACUACGGUAACAGUAACAUUAACGGCACGUUUGCGAUAGCAAUAUAUCUGCUUCGCAGAUACAAUGAGACAAAAUUAAGAAAAUUAUCUGACAGCAGGAAAAAUUAAAUAUUUAAAACAUAAUAUAUAUAUACAUUCAUAUAGUACCAGUCAGAAAUAGCGACAGAACUCUACAUGAAAAAUAUCUCGCGGAUUGAAUCCCCACCGGCGAAACUCCCGACGACAAAAACCCCAAAUUACUGAAUACACACAAAUAUAAAAUAAUUAAUACUUAGAAAAGUUUAGCACAAUUCGUGUCCAUGUUGCCGUUCUGUUUGCUUGCUUAACCAGCUUAAGCACGUGGAGGGCACCACUGAGGUCUAUGAAAUCAAUACCCGACCUACUACUGGUGGUGCUGUUGUAUAAAAGUAAUGUCCAUUAGAAUAUAUCAGUAUAAUACUAACUGAAUAAAAAGGGAAAAAAAGCUAAUAGUGCAAAUGGUGGCAUCUACUUAUUUACAAUCAUGCAGUGCUAUUACGUCCAAAUUGCUUGUAUGUACUCAUACAUACUGUCAUAGUUGGAUACUAUCAAAAAUCCCAAAACUAAGUUAACUAACACACAUAAUAAUCAUAUUCAUCCUUUUCCUAAACACUUUCUGGUUUUUGUUGUUUUUCGUUGCCAUCUUUGACAAUGGCUGGUUCAUCAACAGUCUUCAUAAGGUAGCUACCAGCG